Molecule: ribosomal RNA, 467 nt
Filed under: uncultured bacterium
Lineage: Bacteria
Description: partial 16S ribosomal RNA
Rfam family: Bacterial small subunit ribosomal RNA
Source: RNAcentral
GAUGAACGCUGGCGGCGUGCUUAACACAUGCAAGUCGAACGAUGAAGCCCAGCUUGCUGGGUGGAUUAGUGGCGAACGGGUGAGUAACACGUGAGCAACCUGCCCCUGACUCUGGGAUAAGCGCUGGAAACGGCGUCUAAUACUGGAUAUGUCCCGUCACCGCUUGGUGUGCGGGUGGAAAGAUUUUUCGGUUGGGGAUGGGCUCGCGGCCUAUCCGCUUGUUGGUGAGGUAAUGGCUCACCAAGGCGUCGACGGGUAGCCGGCCUGAGAGGGUGACCGGCGACACGGGGAAUGAGACACGGCCAAGGCUCCUUCGGGAGGAAGCAGUGGGGAAUAAUGCACAAUAGACGGAAGCCUGAUACAGAAACGCCGCGUGAGGGAUGACGGGCUUCGGGUUGUAAACCGCUUAGAGCAGGGAAGAAGCAAAAGUGAAGGUACCUGAAGAAAAAGCACCGGCUAAAUACGUG